UGCUUUGCUCCACCUCCACCUGUGACCUGUCAAACAUAUAACAAUCCUCCAUUGUGUUUUCCCCAUAAACGACGGUGUCGCAAAGAGGUAUACACGUCUCAACAAUGUCUGCCAUAUAGCAUUCAUCAUCAACUGGAGGGCUCAUAAGUCCAGAAAAAACAUGCAACCUCAACCUUCGGUUUCCAAAUGUCAUGUCAAGCGUUCCUGUUCUGCAGUCAAUUUGAGCAUUUGCAGUUGCUAAGAACGGUCGACCCAAAAUCACCGUAGGUUGUUUGGUUGGGUCCUUGGCCACAUAAUCAAGUACUAGAAAGUCCACCGGAUAGUAAAAAUCCUCGAUUUUCACUAUCACAUCCGAAACAACUCCACGGGGUAGCUUGGGUGUCAAAUCGGCUAACACCACGGUGGUGUUCGACGAUUGAAGUGGACCAAAUUCAUAUUGGUCAUACAAGCUACCCGAUAGAAUGCUUACGCUAGCUCCAAGAUCUAGAAGUGCCCGGUUGAUUUUAAAAUCGCCUACUUGAAUUGAAAUGAUAGGCGCACCCGGAUCUUGGAGCUUGGGUGGUAGUGCACCCGAAAGAAUCGAACUCACAUUUUCGGUUAAAUCUAAUUUUUUUGGAAAUUUGUGAGUGCAUUUUUGGGUACACAAAUCUUUCAAGUACUUAGCAUACGACGGUACUUGCUUAAUUGCAUCCAAAAGAGGUAAAUUGAUUUUGACUUGUUUGAAAAUUUCCAACAACUCUUCUUGUUGUGGACCUCUUUUAUUUACAACUUUUUUCAUGGGUCCCUUCAAUGCUUCGGGAUAAGGGGCGGUAUUAGCCUCCACACCCUUUUCCUUAGCCUUGGGGACGGGGAUGGUCCCAACGGGUGGGUUGUUUUUCUUUUUCAAGUCAUUUUUAUUUUGACCCGUUUGACCAUCCUCACGCUCAUCUUCACUCGCAUCUUCCACCACCCUUUCAACAAAUUGGGGUGAUGGUGGUUUGACACCAUUAUCUAUGACUCGACCACUACGAUCAGGUUCAAGAGUGAACACUAGUGUAGUUUGCGAACUGAGCGAACUAAUCCUGACCAUACAUGUGUGUAGAUCAAUGGCAAGGAUUUGAUGAUGAAAUACACUAGUGUAUUUUACGAUUUGAUGAUGAAAUCCUAGCCAUCCACGUGUGUAAAUCAAUGGCCAAGAUUUGUUCACUCAGUUCGCAAAUACACUAGCGUUCACUCUAGAACUUCACCCUAUAUAUAUAUAUAGGUUCGGGAUUUAGAGAAAACGGUGGAAAGUGUGAGAACGGUGAGAACGCUUAUGGAUCGUCCGAUCAAAACAAUCUAUGGACUAGAUUUGCGCGGUGGCGUUUUCAUAAAUAACAUCAAUUUUAUUACGUGGACGCGCUUCAUUAAGGGUAAAAGCGUCUUUUGACUACUCAAACAAAACGCCAUGUCAUGAAAAUAAAACGCCAAACAAAAAUCACACACCAUUCUAACUAAAAACGCCAUUAGAUAUAAAACGUCAAACUUAAUUAUAGUAAAAUCCCGCCUAAAAACCCGCCAAAAAAUCCUAUAUAUACAACAACUCAGACAUUCUAUUAAAAACACACACAAAAACCCCAAACGCCAUAUUUAAUAUAUACCAUUCGUCUGAUAAAACGCCAGAAAACCCAAACAUUAAAUAUAUUGUUGUCAAUAAAGUGUAGCUGUAUGGGGUGGACAACAUUGUCAAUUAUCUUUCUUAACUGAGUAUUAACAAUGUUAUCCAUCACCAUACAGCAACACUUUAUUGAUUUUAGCAUGAUCAAAUUUACAGUUUUAAGAUGGUUUAUUUUGUGGCGUUCUUUUUCUCGGUAAAACGCCAAAAAAAAUAACAUUUUGGCUGAAAGGGUGUAAACUCAAUAACAUUUGCUGCAUGAGAUGGACAAAAAUUAUAGAAAAAGAGGCUGAUUUCAGACUUUGGGUUUCCAAACGGCGACAAAAAAAACUACUUUAGAAAACAAAAAUUAAAAAAAAUCAUACGAAAGUCGAAACAGCCAGUGAAGAUGCUUCAAAAGAAGAAACAGACUGGUGACUGUGAAGAUUUGGAAGAUCAAUAUUUAUUUUGUUUAAUUUUCUUUUUCAGCUGAUUGUUAUAUAGAAACAACGCCAUAUCUAAUAAAAACGCCAAAAAGCCAAAUGUCUUACACCUUUGUCGUUUAUCAAACCAUCAUAAAUUUACUUUGGACAAGUAUUAUAAAA
RNAcentral lists this long non-coding RNA (2217 nucleotides) under Helianthus annuus (common sunflower). Its description in RNAcentral is "hypothetical non coding rna". The record is from RNAcentral. Lineage: Eukaryota; Viridiplantae; Streptophyta; Magnoliopsida; Asterales; Asteraceae.